CCUACGGGAGGCAGCAGUGAGGAAUAUUGGUCAAUGGGAGAGAUCCUGAACCAGCCAAGCCGCGUGAGGGAAGACGGCCCUAUGGGUUGUAAACCUCUUUUGUCGGGGAACAAAACCCGGGACGUGUCCCGGACUGCGUGUAUCCGAAGAAAAAGCAUCGGCUAACUCCGUGCCAGCAGCCGCGGUAAUCCGGAGGAUGCGAGCGUUAUCCGGAUUUAUUGGGUUUAAGGGGUGCGUAGGCGGUCCGUUAAGUCAGCGGGAAAAUUGCGGGGCUCAACCCCGUCGAGCCGUUGAAACUGGCAGACUUGAGUUGGCGAGAAGUACGCGGAAUGCGCGGUGUAGCGGUGAAAUGCAUAGAUAUCGCGCAGAACUCCGAUUGCGAAGGCAGCGUACCGGCGCCAGACUGACGCUGAGGCACGAAAGCGUGGGGAUCGAACAGGAUUAGAUACCCUAGUAGUC
This 459-nucleotide ribosomal RNA is filed under the name uncultured bacterium. Its description in RNAcentral is "partial 16S ribosomal RNA". It matches the Rfam family "Bacterial small subunit ribosomal RNA", at positions 338 to 795 of the family's 1533-position model. The record is from RNAcentral.